RNAcentral lists this ribosomal RNA (1540 nucleotides) under Staphylococcus aureus W88551. RNAcentral describes it as "16S ribosomal RNA". It matches the Rfam family "Bacterial small subunit ribosomal RNA". The record is from RNAcentral. Lineage: Bacteria; Bacillati; Bacillota; Bacilli; Caryophanales; Staphylococcaceae.
AGAGUUUGAUCCUGGCUCAGGAUGAACGCUGGCGGCGUGCCUAAUACAUGCAAGUCGAGCGAACGGACGAGAAGCUUGCUUCUCUGAUGUUAGCGGCGGACGGGUGAGUAACACGUGGAUAACCUACCUAUAAGACUGGGAUAACUUCGGGAAACCGGAGCUAAUACCGGAUAAUAUUUUGAACCGCAUGGUUCAAAAGUAAAAGACGGUCUUGCUGUCACUUAUAGAUGGAUCCGCGCUGCAUUAGCUAGUUGGUAAGGUAACGGCUUACCAAGGCAACGAUGCAUAGCCGACCUGAGAGGGUGAUCGGCCACACUGGAACUGAGACACGGUCCAGACUCCUACGGGAGGCAGCAGUAGGGAAUCUUCCGCAAUGGGCGAAAGCCUGACGGAGCAACGCCGCGUGAGUGAUGAAGGUCUUCGGAUCGUAAAACUCUGUUAUUAGGGAAGAACAUAUGUGUAAGUAACUGUGCACAUCUUGACGGUACCUAAUCAGAAAGCCACGGCUAACUACGUGCCAGCAGCCGCGGUAAUACGUAGGUGGCAAGCGUUAUCCGGAAUUAUUGGGCGUAAAGCGCGCGUAGGCGGUUUUUUAAGUCUGAUGUGAAAGCCCACGGCUCAACCGUGGAGGGUCAUUGGAAACUGGAAAACUUGAGUGCAGAAGAGGAAAGUGGAAUUCCAUGUGUAGCGGUGAAAUGCGCAGAGAUAUGGAGGAACACCAGUGGCGAAGGCGACUUUCUGGUCUGUAACUGACGCUGAUGUGCGAAAGCGUGGGGAUCAAACAGGAUUAGAUACCCUGGUAGUCCACGCCGUAAACGAUGAGUGCUAAGUGUUAGGGGGUUUCCGCCCCUUAGUGCUGCAGCUAACGCAUUAAGCACUCCGCCUGGGGAGUACGACCGCAAGGUUGAAACUCAAAGGAAUUGACGGGGACCCGCACAAGCGGUGGAGCAUGUGGUUUAAUUCGAAGCAACGCGAAGAACCUUACCAAAUCUUGACAUCCUUUGACAACUCUAGAGAUAGAGCCUUCCUCUUCGGGGGACAAAGUGACAGGUGGUGCAUGGUUGUCGUCAGCUCGUGUCGUGAGAUGUUGGGUUAAGUCCCGCAACGAGCGCAACCCUUAAGCUUAGUUGCCAUCAUUAAGUUGGACACUCUAAGUUGACUGCCGGUGACAAACCGGAGGAAGGUGGGGAUGACGUCAAAUCAUCAUGCCCCUUAUGAUUUGGGCUACACACGUGCUACAAUGGACAAUACAAAGGGCAGCGAAACCGCGAGGUCAAGCAAAUCCCAUAAAGUUGUUCUCAGUUCGGAUUGUAGUCUGCAACUCGACUACAUGAAGCUGGAAUCGCUAGUAAUCGUAGAUCAGCAUGCUACGGUGAAUACGUUCCCGGGUCUUGUACACACCGCCCGUCACACCACGAGAGUUUGUAACACCCGAAGCCGGUGGAGUAACCUUUUAGGAGCUAGCCGUCGAAGGUGGGACAAAUGAUUGGGGUGAAGUCGUAACAAGGUAGCCGUAUCGGAAGGUGCGGCUGGAUCACCU